UAGCAUACGAUGAUUGUGGUGUUCUGGUA
This 29-nucleotide small RNA is filed under the name Bombyx mori (domestic silkworm). RNAcentral describes it as "ovarian small RNA-22292". The record is from RNAcentral. Lineage: Eukaryota; Metazoa; Arthropoda; Insecta; Lepidoptera; Bombycidae.